Molecule: non-coding RNA, 72 nt
Organism: Caenorhabditis brenneri
Lineage: Eukaryota; Metazoa; Nematoda; Chromadorea; Rhabditida; Rhabditidae
Source: the annotation of a GenBank genome assembly
GUAUGCGUGGUGCAGCGGUUAACGCUGUUGUUUCAGAAUUGUUCGGCGCGGGUUCGAUCCCCCCGGUGGUCA